CGCGGGUUGAAAAUGAGCUAUUUUUGCAUAAUUCUAUAAAUUAUUGAAUAUAGCAAAAAUAGCUCAUUUUCAACCCGC
Molecule: non-coding RNA, 78 nt
Organism: Paramuricea clavata
Lineage: Eukaryota; Metazoa; Cnidaria; Anthozoa; Malacalcyonacea; Plexauridae
Source: the annotation of a GenBank genome assembly